RNAcentral lists this long non-coding RNA (3067 nucleotides) under Malus domestica (apple). Its description in RNAcentral is "long non-coding RNA (MDOM_LNC017916)". Lineage: Eukaryota; Viridiplantae; Streptophyta; Magnoliopsida; Rosales; Rosaceae. The record is from RNAcentral.
GUAUUUCUACAAGGUUUGUGCAAUUCAUCAACGACACAUGGGGGCAAAGAACCUUCAAAAUGGUUGUAAUCAAGAGCCAAGAGUUUCAAUUUGGAGAGCUUUCCAAAAUGGAGAGGGAGCACGCCACUCAACUAAUUAAAGGAGAGGUCAAGGAUUGCGAGGUUGGUGAGGUUGAAGAUUUUCUCACUUAUGGCACCGUGGAGUGAAUUGGAAGGAAAUGUAAUUUCUUCAAGUUUGGUGGCAUUGUAGAUAUCUUUCGGAAGUAACCCUGAGAGGUUAUUGUUACUAGCACGAAAAAUUUGCAUUUGUAAAUAUUCUUUACAUUUCUGCACUUUUAUCAAUGCUCUAACACUGCAUGCAUUGUAAAAAGAGUGUAUCCCACAUUGCGCACUCUUAGUUUAAUAUAUUUUGAUAUGAAAAUGGAUAGUUACAUUUAAUUAGUAAGGGGAAUAAACAUUACCCCUCACAAAACAAGAAAAACAAAAUAAGAAUAAAAUACAAGAAAUGAGGGGGGGACAUAAACCUUACCCUCCUUGCAAAAGAAAAUACAAGAAAAAAAAAAGAAGGGACAAGUAAGGGGGAUAAACAUUACCCCUCAUAAAACAAUAAAAAUAAAAUACAGGAAAUAAGGGGAGACAUAAGCCUUACCCUUCUUAUAAAAGAAAAUACAAGGAAAAAAAAAGGGACAUAGACCUAAAGCAAAUGGUAAUAUACAUAUCCUCGUAGUCUUUAGUAUGAAAAGAAAACCAAUAAAAAGCACAAUCUAGUCUCCUCUAAGCCUCCUUUUCAUCAUGUUCACACGCAUUAUAAUCAUGAAAUAGAGCCUAUCUUGUACAUUGUCAAAGAAUUUAAAAUAUGCAUAUCUCCAUGUCUUCUUAACAAUUAAAGAACCAAACACUCCCCAAAAUCCUACAAUGAAACCUAGUGCGGUAAAAAUAUGCAACCAUGGAAAAUCAUGCUCAUUGUCCACACCUUGGAUGUUCUUGCUAUCUGCAUCAAUGCCCUUAAUUGGUAGACACUCAUUUGGAAGUGGAGGGCCACACAGUUUUGAAUUCCUCUCAAACGCAGAAGCAUCGAAACUUUGGAGCUGAGUGCUUGUUGGGAUUGGUCCUUCGAGAUUAUUGUAUGAGACAUUGAAGGAUCUUAAGAAAUUAAGGCUUGCCAAUGACAACGGGAUGUUUCCAGACAAAUGAUUCAUGGAGAGGCGCAAAUUUUCUAGAUUUUUGAGGUUGGAUAUUUGUUCUAGAAUGUUGCCGAAAAAAUAGUUUCCACUAAGAUCCAAGGUUUGGACAAGGUGUAUUUGGCCGAUCUCAGUAGGUAUUCUGCAAUGAAUGUGAUUGAGAGAUAGGUCUAUUGUUCGUGGAAAGUUGGACAAUCUUCGCGGGUAAUUUUUGUCAUCAAAGUUGAAGAGAGGCAGGUCAAUAUAAUCGUCUGCUUGAGUUUUGGUCGAUUCAUGUACCAACCUUGGUAGUCCACAAAGUUCUUUUGGAAAUUCACCGGAAAUUUGAUUGUCUGACAAGUUCAAGAAUAAGAGUUUGGGCAGAGUCCCCAACGAUCUAGGAAUUGGCCCUGUAAUUCUACUACCUACCAAACCCAAGAUCUCUACAUUCUUGAGUUUUGAUAACCAUAAAGGUAUUUGACCAGUGAACUCACAAUAAGAAAAACUCAAAUAUCGAAGAUUUUGGAAACCUCCGAAACCAACCAUGCCUUCAUCAAAUGGCAUUUCCUCGCCUUCGAACGAAUACAAAAAGAUGAGAGUUUGAAGGCUUUUGCAAUGCAUUAAUAUUUUCAUUGCCCCAGUAAUGUUGGUUAAGCCACUUAGUGAGAGAAAGGACAAAGAUUUUAAUGAAAGAAUUUCAGGUUGUAUUUGUCCCUCUAAAUUAUUGUCAGCCAAACGAAUAGCUCUUAGGGACUGGUAUGAAUAAAGGCUUGUUGGAAAUGUACCAGUAAAGUUGUUUCUACGUAGGUCAAGUUUAUUGACGUGACUAAGUUUCGAGAAAUUGAGCUUGGAGAUAUCUCCUUCCAAGUUGUUGGCUCCCAUAUCCAUUUCUACAAGGUUCGUGCAAUUCAUCAACGAUGGGGGCAAAGAACCUUCAAAAUGGUUGUAAUCAAGAGCCAAGAGUUUCAAAUUGGAGAGCUUUCCAAAUUGGAGAGGGAGUACGCCACUUAACUGAUUAAAGGAGAGGUCAAGGAUUGCGAGGUUGGUGAGGUUGAAAAUUUUCUCACCUAUGGCUCCAUGGAGUGAAUUGGAAGGGAAUGCAAUUUCUUCAAGUUUGGUGGCAUUGUAGAUAUCUUUCGGAAGUAACCCUGAGAGAUUAUUGUUACUAGCACGAAAAAUUUGUAGUUUUGAACACUCUCCGAGUCCAGGAGAAAUGUUGCCACUAAAUUCAUUGUGGGAAAAAUCCAACAGCCUAAUCAAGGGAGAAGAAUGAAGGCAUAUAGAGGAUGGGAUCAAACCUGAGAAGGCAUUGUUGGUGAUGUUGAAACUAGUUAAAUUCCAAGCUUGUUGAAAGAAUGAUGUUGGAAUUGCACCCUGGAAGCGAUUGCUAGACAAAUCCAACGUCUGGAUAUUGUGGGAUGGUAGAGAAAAAGGUAGCUUUCCAGAAAGAAGAUUAAAGCUUAAAUCAAGGAUCUCAAGACGAUUCAAAGACGAGAAGAAUUCAAUUUCAAGUGAUCCGGAAAGUGAAUUGUGAGAGAGAUUCAAGUGGGUGAGGUGUGUGAGAUUUCCUAGUGACGAUGAUGAGGGGAAAAUAGCUCAUUUGAGACCUUUGGAGGAUAAGAGCAAAUGGGUGACCAAACCAUCCUGAUUACAAGUGAUGCCCUCCCAACUACAACAGUUAACUGAAGUCCAUUUUAAAGGGAGAGAAGAUAGGGUGGAGGUGAAGGACACAAGAGAGGCGCGCUCCGUUUGGUUGCAUGCAUGAACAUUUGUAGAGAUGAUGUGUGAGAAUAAGAGGAUAAGAAGAAAGCCAUGAGCCAUUGGGUUAGAAAGUAAGCUGGUCUAGCAUAUAGAUAUGUUUCUUUACAUUCGGAAUUCUCAAAGGUAUAUAUAGAGCAACUAAUUGCA